CCCGACCAGUUUACCCAUGAGGCCACACCUGACACACACAUCCCUUUGUUCAGGUCAGCAAAGUUCCAGGGACGUAUUGGAGCCCCUGAAAGUGUUUUGUCGUAUAAAGCGACAGAGAAGGACAUAUUUGAAGAUUUGAAAGGUUGCCAGGAUUUGCCACAGUGCCUUCUCCAAAAGGAACAGGACUUCAAAGGUUUUCUGGCAUAUGUUGAGGGACAGAAGCUUCAGGAUACACUGCUGUCUGCAUCUGAAUUGUCAUCCAACUAUCAAAACAAAAUUCUCCUCAUGAUGGACGAGGAGGCAGAAUCACUACAGAGAGCAGAAGAGGAACACUUAAAGGACCCUUUGAACUCCAUGAAGGUUGGCCAAGCCUGCCUACGCAAUGACUCAUGCCUCACGAAGGUUCACAGGGACACAGUAGUGAGGAUAUUUGGUCAGACCUCGG
Long non-coding RNA from Clupea harengus (Atlantic herring), 445 nucleotides. Lineage: Eukaryota; Metazoa; Chordata; Actinopteri; Clupeiformes; Clupeidae. The record is from Ensembl.